CUACGGGGCGCUCCAGUGGGGAAUAUUGGACAAUGGGGGAAACCCUGAUCCAGCAAUGCCGCGUGUGUGAAGAAGGCCUGCGGGUUGUAAAGCACUUUCGGUUGGGAGGACUGCUUCUAGCACUAAUAUUGUUGGAAGUUGACGUUACCUUCAGAAGAAGCACCGACUACUCCGUGCCAGCAGCCGCGGUAAUACGGAGUGUGCAAGCGUUAAUCGGAAUUACUGGGCGUAAAACGCGCGUAGGCGGCUAGAUCAGUCGGGUGUGAAAGCCCCGGGCUUAACCUGGGAACUGCAUCCGAUACUGUCUAGCUUGAGUACAGGAGAGGAGAGUGGAAUUCCACAUGUAGCGGUGAAAUGCGUAGAUAUGUGGAGGAACACCAAUGGCGAAGGCAGCUCUCUGGCCUGAUACUGACGCUGAGGUGCGAAAGCGUGGGGAGCAAACAGGAUUAGAUACCCCGGUAGUC
RNAcentral lists this ribosomal RNA (464 nucleotides) under uncultured bacterium. RNAcentral's name for it is "partial 16S ribosomal RNA". It matches the Rfam family "Bacterial small subunit ribosomal RNA", at positions 339 to 795 of the family's 1533-position model. The record is from RNAcentral.